This 376-nucleotide long non-coding RNA is filed under the name Linum usitatissimum (flax). Its description in RNAcentral is "long non-coding RNA (LUSI_LNC006338)". Lineage: Eukaryota; Viridiplantae; Streptophyta; Magnoliopsida; Malpighiales; Linaceae. The record is from RNAcentral.
ACUAACCCAGGUGAUUUCCAUAUAUAACUCAACUCAUGCCAUGAGCCAUCUCUCAACUACUUAUAAAAGCUUGGCAUCAUGCUACAAUGUUGCUGGUGUUUGUAUAUGACAGUAGUACUAGUAGCUAUGCCAACUAUAUAACCGAUGCAGUAAUAUUUCACUGACUAGUAAUUGUGAAUAACAGGUUCUGUGAUAAAUGAAGGUAGUUUAGGACAAGGUAAAGACACCAAAAACCUUGUACAUGCUGCAAGUAAUAAUCAUGAAGCGUUUCCACCCAUCGUUCACAGAGAUCCACCUGUCCUCAAGUCCUCCUAUGUAACACACUCGGCAAAUGCAGACAAACGGCCCGUUCAAUCAAGCCACAAAUUAAGGACCG